CAACCACUAUACGGUGUCCAAAAAUUAGAAUUACUUGCUAUUACCGAAGCUGUCAAAAGUAUGUGGAAGGGUGGUAAUGUUGAUGGAGUUGCUUGCGUUCCUUUGCUGCUCAGGAGCUGAAGUGUUGAACCAGCACUGACGAGCUCUUCUGGACAGGGAAAGCUGAAUGCAAGGCUGGACAUAAGUGUAGUCAUUCUAUAAAGUUAUGUAGGAAUUUGAGAGGGGAAAGAAAUCCCAAUAAGGGCAGAGG
Molecule: long non-coding RNA, 250 nt
Organism: Lagopus leucura (white-tailed ptarmigan)
Lineage: Eukaryota; Metazoa; Chordata; Aves; Galliformes; Phasianidae
Exons: 3
Source: RefSeq, a predicted model, not a curated record